GUCGCUGAUUGGGUAGGAAGCAGAGACUUCCUCUCAGAGAAGAACUGCAGAAACACACUCCAAACUAAGGAGAAUGGCUUUUUGAUUGAGGAGACUGAGUCCACCUUAUCAGGCUACAGCUGGGGAGAAGAUGGAGCUGUUCCCGGGAGUUAUUUUGGUGAUUUUGUGGCUUCCAGUGGACUGGGUAAGCGGCCAGAAGAUGGAACAGAGUCCUCAGUCUUUGAACAUCCAGGAGGGUGAGAAGGCCGUUCUGACCUGUAACUACACACAAUUUUCUCCAGUGGUCUUCCAGUGGUACCGACAAGAUCCGGGAAGAGGCCUUGUCUUCUUGCUACUAAUACGUGAAAAUGAGGGUGAAAAACAGACAGGAAGACUAACGGCCACCUUUGAUAAGACUGUCAAACGGAGUUCCUUUCACAUAACAGAAUCCCAGCCUGCAGACUCAGCCACCUACUUCUGUGCUGCAGACACACAGCAGGGUCCCGCCACCUGCUUCCUGUGCCCAAACUCUGCUAAAAAAACUCAGUCAAUAGAGCUGCUAGCUGUGUUGACCCCAAGGGUCAUAUGCUCCUGGCAUAUUCAAUGGAGGUACUCGAACUGAACCGACCCAAUCAAAGGGUGUGAGGAAGAGCACUGGACUGACCCCGAGGGAGUGGGGGAUUCAUCUCACAGCCUCAGCAAU
Molecule: non-coding RNA, 682 nt
Organism: Suricata suricatta (meerkat)
Lineage: Eukaryota; Metazoa; Chordata; Mammalia; Carnivora; Herpestidae
Source: the annotation of a RefSeq genome assembly